CCUACGGGAGGCAGCAGUGAGGAAUAUUGGUCAAUGGACGAGAGUCUGAACCAGCCAAGUAGCGUGAAGGAUGACUGCCCUAGGGGUUGUAAACUUCUUUUAUAUGGGAAUAAAACAGGGUAUGCAUACCCUCUUGUAUGUACCAUAUGAAUAAGGAUCGGCUAACUCCGUGCCAGCAGCCGCGGUAAUACGGAGGAUCCGAGCGUUAUCCGGAUUUAUUGGGGGUAAAGGGAGCGUAGGUGGAGUGUUAAGUCAGUUGUGAAAUGUGCGGGCUCAACCCGGGCAGUGCAGUGCGAACUGGCGUGCUUGAGUGCGCGGAAAGCAGGCGGAAUUCGUAGUGUAGCGGUGAAAUGCUUAGAUAUGACGAAGAACCCCGAUGGCGAAGGCAGCUUGCUGGAGAGGAACUGACGCUGAGGCUCGAAAGCGCGGGUAUCGAACAGGAUUAGAUACCCGGGUAGUC
RNAcentral lists this ribosomal RNA (460 nucleotides) under uncultured bacterium. Its description in RNAcentral is "partial 16S ribosomal RNA". It matches the Rfam family "Bacterial small subunit ribosomal RNA", at positions 338 to 795 of the family's 1533-position model. The record is from RNAcentral.